AUGGAUCUUGGGCGCCUGAACUAUGGGGUCGUCACUCUUAUCCCCAAAGUACCGGGCGCGACGGACAUCCGCCAAUUCCGACCUAUCACUGUGAUCAAUGUGAUAUUCCGGAUCCUCGCCAAAGGGUACGCCAAUAGGGUGACGCUGCUAGCCAACUCGAUCAAUCACCCCAAUCAGUCGACUUUCAUUCAGGGUCGUUUUAUCCUGGAUGGGGUGUUGGUCUUCCACGAGGUCCUUCAUGAAGUCCGCUCCAAGCACCAACGGGCGGUCUUCCUGAAGCUCGACUUCCAUAAAGCCUAUGACACUGUUCACUAG
RNAcentral lists this ribosomal RNA (315 nucleotides) under Triticum aestivum (bread wheat). Its description in RNAcentral is "partial small subunit ribosomal RNA". Lineage: Eukaryota; Viridiplantae; Streptophyta; Magnoliopsida; Poales; Poaceae. The record is from RNAcentral.